This 495-nucleotide ribosomal RNA is filed under the name uncultured bacterium. Its description in RNAcentral is "partial 16S ribosomal RNA". It matches the Rfam family "Bacterial small subunit ribosomal RNA", at positions 28 to 507 of the family's 1533-position model. The record is from RNAcentral.
GACGAACGCUGGCGGCGUGCCUAAUACAUGCAAGUAGAACGCUGAAGGAGGAGCUUGUUUCUCUGGAUGAGUUGCGAACGGGUGAGUAACGCGUAGGUAACCUGCCUGGUAGCGGGGGAUAACUAUUGGAAACGAUAGCUAAUACCGCAUAAGAGUAGAUGUCGCAUGACAUUUGCUUAAAAGGUGCAAUUGCAUCACUACCAGAUGGACCUGCGUUGUAUUAGCUAGUUGGUGAGGUAACGGCUCACCAAGGCAACGAUACAUAGCCGACCUGAGAGGGUGAUCGGCCACACUGGGACUGAGACACGGCCCAGACUCCUACGGGAGGCAGCAGUAGGGAAUCUUCGGCAAUAGACGGAAGUCUGACCGAGCAACGCCGCGUGAGUGAAGAAGGUUUUCGGAUCGUAAAGCUCUGUUGUAAGAGAAGAACGAGUGUGAGAGUGGAAAGUUCACACUGUGACGGUAUCUUACCAGAAAGGGACGGCUAACUACGUG